Crotalus tigris (Tiger rattlesnake) is the source of this 1814-nucleotide long non-coding RNA. RefSeq lists it as uncharacterized. Lineage: Eukaryota; Metazoa; Chordata; Lepidosauria; Squamata; Viperidae. The transcript is spliced from 3 exons. The record is from RefSeq and is a predicted model, not a curated record.
GGACACUCCUGAACUACAGUAAUAUAUGGGAAUCCAUAAAAAUAAUAAUAAUUCUGCGAGAGCACAUAUAUUCUAUGACUUGAAGGCUGUGCCAAUCUUUACAAGCACAUCAGUGACUGCACAUCAAAACCAGUUCUGCCAGUCAUCUUUAUUCAACGAUCCUUUCAUAUUAUGAAAGAGGCAAGAAAAUUUAUCUUUCUCUGCCUACUUGCUCCAUAACUAUGACGAUGAAUGAGAGGCACGGACAAGCUAGUUCCAGGAUCUUUUCUUAGAAGUCAGCAGUACAUUUUCAUCAUCUUUUCUGAAGUUGGACAACUCACACUUCUGAAGCAAAGAGGUUUGCCAAAUACAUGAAUAAAAAGCAAUUUUUUAAAAUAAAGCAAAGCUCUCAAGAAUGUAUAGGAAAAACAAAGACAGAAAUGAGACUUUGCACCAGGUCUGACUAGAAAAUGAAUCAUUGGACAUAAUAAUAAGUGAGAAAAAUUAUAUUCUUGUUCAGAUACUUUACAACUGACCGUUAAAAGGUUAUGCAUUGAGAAAGAAAGAAAUGGUGUGUAUAACUACUGUUGCAACUGAAAGGAUAGAAUUGGAAGUUUAAGGUUGCAAUGCUCCCAGCAAAUAUUCCCAAAAGCAUUGGAUCAUUCAGAGUUUGCUCUUUAACAUCAUACAAAUCUAUAGAAGGUUUGACUUUAGAAUCAAUUUCCUGGUUUCUAGCAUUUGUUUUUUUCAUAACUCAAGUUGUUCAACAGGGGGGAAAAAGUGCCAGCAAAAUGACUCUGACUUUCCUGAAUAAAACAUUUUAUAGUUUCUUGUACGUGAUCCCAGCAGAUGCAGGAUUUUACUAGACUGGAAAAACCUACUCCAUAUGAACCUAACUAUCUUUUAUCUUUAUAGUUACGAUCCAGUGGUUUUUAUGCAUUCAUCUUUUUUAUAUGUUAGUUUUGAAAAAAAAAUCAAAAUUGAAAAGGGCCAGGAAAGAAAAUGUUUCACCAGUAUUUUUUUUUAAUCACAGUUGUUCUACAUCUAUUUGCAAGUUACUCACAGAGACUUACCAGAUUGGAAGAGCAUGAAGCUGAAGGCCAAAGUAUUAAAUCUAAUGUUCACCACUACCCAAAUCCUGUCUUGCAAACAUGGUGUCAUCUGGAUACCAUCUGUGGCAAUUAAUUCCACAAGGGAAGGCUAGUCCUAAAUGACAUCUCUUUAAAAACCUCUGGGUUCCUUCAGUGAAGCAAUGCCAUCUAUCAAUAUCCCACAAAUGCCUGCCCUCUGGAAUGAGGUUCCCUUGAAAUUUGAGUGGUUUUCACCCUACAGAUACUUGGAAGGAUCUUCACCCAGCCCUUUGGUGGGAAUGAAGGAUACACCUUUCUUCCUUUUUGUUACCCUCUGGAUUUGUGCUGUUUUUGCUAUUUUCCACAUUGUUCUUUGUUUUGGAAUGUUUUUAACAAUUGUAAACUGCCCAAAGCUGCUGGGAGUUGGGUGGCAUAUAAAUUUAAUUUAUUUUUAUGGUUGGUUCCACAGUCAGCCAGAUAUUUAGUCUGGAUUUGGCAUUUUUAUCUGCCUAUCGAAUCUUUCCCUGGACCUGGAACAGGAAUUUGAUGUUUGAUGGUGUUGAAGCUAUUAGUUGUUCCAAAUAAAGCUACCUUUUGCAAUUGACCAACAGUGAUUUUGUCAAUGUCAAUGAUACUUAAGUGGUGUUCUCGUUGUUUUGGGAUUGUACCCAAGGCAUCUCUUAUUAUUGGUAUUAUCUUCGCUUUUUUUAAUCACAGUUGUUCUACAUCUAUUUGCAAGUCUUUGUAUUUUGUUAUCUUCUACAU